UCCAGCUUGUCGCUGGCGGUCUCCUGAGAGUGCCGCCUUUUCGGCAUGGCAACACAGGACAAGGGUUGCGCUCGUUGCGGGACUUAACCCAACAUCUCACGACACGAGCUGACGACAGCCAUGCAGCACCUCGGAUUCAGUCCCUUGCGGGAAAGGAAGUGUUUCCACCUCCGGUCCAAACCCGUUCGAGCCCAGGUAAGGUUCUUCGCGUUGCGUCGAAUUAAACCACAUGCUCCACCGCUUGUGCGGGCCCCCGUCAAUUCUUUUGAGUUUUAGCCUUGCGGCCGUACUCCCCAGGCGGAGCGCUUAACGCGUUAGCUUCGGCACCUCAGGGGUCAAUACCCAAAGCACCUAGCGCUCAUCGUUUACGGCGUGGACUAC
RNAcentral lists this unclassified non-coding RNA (381 nucleotides) under uncultured Acidobacteriota bacterium. Its description in RNAcentral is "uncultured Acidobacteria bacterium contains 16S-23S intergenic spacer region". Lineage: Bacteria; Pseudomonadati; Acidobacteriota. The record is from RNAcentral.